AUUUUCUUGGAACCCCAAUGAUCAUCCACCGCACGUGGCUCACUAAAUCACAUACUGACAUACAUGUGCACUCUUUCUUUCUCUUGGAAGAACUGCACUUUUUGGCGACAUUAAGGUUGGUAUGGCAGCAAUCAGUUUAUUAGAAAUGUUUUGUACAUAUGAUUUGAUUUCCACAGUGUUUCACCAUUGAAAUCAAGUAUUACCGUUAAUAAUGAUCUCAUAUGUAUGUUUUGACUGCAGAAAGUAUUCCCAUGGAAGCUG
RNAcentral lists this unclassified non-coding RNA (261 nucleotides) under Hevea brasiliensis (rubber tree). Lineage: Eukaryota; Viridiplantae; Streptophyta; Magnoliopsida; Malpighiales; Euphorbiaceae. The record is from RNAcentral.